This is a long non-coding RNA of Mercenaria mercenaria, 5795 nucleotides long. RefSeq lists it as uncharacterized. NCBI's taxonomy places the organism in Eukaryota, Metazoa, Mollusca, Bivalvia, Venerida, Veneridae. The transcript is spliced from 6 exons. The record is from RefSeq and is a predicted model, not a curated record.
GAAUGUUUGUGAAAAAAGUGACUGUGUUCAUUUUGUAGUAGUAUGUAAAGUGAAGAAAGAACAUAAAAAUUUUAAUCAUUGGAAUUGAUACUUUUUGUUGGGGGUGGGAAUCUGUGCCUGUUGUAGUCCAGUAUCUUCCCAUCAGACCUAACCCCAUUUCAUCUUGGCCCAGCCCAUCCCAUUCCUGAUUUGUAAUCCAGAUAUGAAUGUACAAAUAAUAUAUGUAUAUUUGAAUUAAAAUAUUAAUAUAUAGCAUGUCCACAAAAUAAGCAGAGAGAUGUGUAUAGAUGAAUUUAAUAUGAAAUAUGUUAGUAUGAAAAUAUGUCUUACGCAUGCAAUUGUAACAUACAAUAGUAACACUUUAUAAGAAUUGAUAAAAGUACACUUCUUUGUAAGUAAAUAUAUGUAUAUAAUAGAAAAGGUUGAAAACAUGAGUUUUGGGGAGACGUUUAUAAUAUUGUUAUGGAUUCAGUAUUAUCUUAUAUGGAAUAAUUAUUCAAUCUGGAACCACUCUUGUGUAGAGUAUGGGAAUAAAAUAAGCAGAGAAUGGAUUUGUAUAAAGGAAUUCAAUAUGAAAUAAUUGUUCAUGUGAAAAUAUGUUUUAUUAAUGCAAUGAACAUUUGCUAUAGUUAAACUUGAUUAGAAGUAGUAAAAGUACAUUUCUUUGUAAAAAUGUGUAUAAUUGAUAGAAAAGGUCAGUAGACUGCCAGUGACAACUGACUUUAUGUCUCAUUCAUAUGUAUAAUCAACGAUUGAUUGGACUUUAUUAUGAAGCAGAAAAGGAAUAUAAAAAUGCAAUAGAAAGGAUUUAAUAUGAAGCAAGGAAAGAUCAUCUAAAUGUUAUAAAAAGUGACAUAAUUAAAAAUGGUAAUUAUUAGAAUUGAUACUUUUAUAGGGGUGGGAAUCUCUGUCCUGUCUAUACCAUUUAUUCCGAUUCAUCCUAUCGAAUUCCAACUUGACCCUGCCCAUCCCAUUUCUGAUUGGUUACCCAGAUAUGAUUGUAUAAAUAAUAAAUAAUAUAGCAUACUUGAAUUAAAAUAUUAAUGUGGAGCAUGGCCAAGAAAUAAGAGAGAAGAUGUGUAUAAAUCAAUUUAAUAUGAAAUAUGUUAGUGUGAAAUCAUGUCUUAUUCAUCCAAUUGACAAAUUCUAUAUUCACAUGUUAUAUGAAGUGUUAAUAGUACACUUCUUUUUAAGUAAAUGUAUGUAUAUAAUAGAAAAGGUUGAAAACAUGAAUUUUUUUAAACAUUCUUAAUAUUAUUAUAAAUAGUUUAUUAUCUGAAGUGGAAUAGUUAUUCAAUCUGUAACCACACUUGAACAGUUUUCAGAAGUUACACUCCAACGAUAUUUUGAAAAGUCUGGAAAAAGAAUUGUUUGAAAGGUAAUAUGUUAUUCUACUUGGUAUAAUAUGCAGAAUUACAGAAUUAAUUUAUAUUUCUUGUUGCCAUGCUUAUUUACAGUACUUAUACCAGUCCAUUUUUUUUUCAGUUUGAGCUGCAAGUUUAAGCAGGAAAAUGGUGUCAAAUGUCAAGGCAAGCCAAAGAAGCAGUACUGGAUUUUCCCUGGAAAAUUUGAGCUGCAAGGUGAAGCAGGAAAAUGGUGUCAAGUGUCAAGGCAAGCCAAAGAAGCAGUACUGGAUUUUCCCCAGAAAAGUAUGAAGCAUGUUUGUGAAAAAAGUGACUGUUUAUUUGUAGUAUUAAAGUGAAGAAAGAAGAUAAAAAAAUUUAACUAUUGGAAUUGAUACUUUUUGUGGGGGUGGGAAUCUUUGUCCCUUGUAGUCAAGUUCCUUCCCAUCAAUCCUAACCCCAUUUCAUCUUGACCCAACCCAUCCCAUUCCUGAUUUGUAAUCAAGAUAUGAAUGUACAAAUAAUAUAAAUCGUAUUUGAAUUAGAAUUAUAUAGGGUGCCCGCUCGUGAUGAAAUAAUGCACGGAGGGGCACCUGGGAUCUUCCUCCACUAUUAAAGCUGGAAAGUCACCAUAUGGCCUAUCAUGUGUCAACAUUAAAUCCAAAAAAAUAUAUAUGUAUUAAUAUAGAGCAUGGCCACACAAAAAGCAGAGAGAUGUGUAUAGAUGAAUUUAAUAUGAAAUAUGUUAGUAUCAAAAUAUGUCUUAUGCAUGCAAUUGACACAUACAAUAGUAACACUUUAUAAGAAUUGAUAAAAGUACACUUCUUUGUAAGUAAAUAUAAUUAUGUAUAUGAUAGGAAAGGUUGAAAACAUGAGAUUUUGGAGAGGUUUAUAAUAUUGUUAUGGAUUCAGUCUAUUAUCUUAUAUGGAAUAAUUAUUGAAUCUGGAACCACUCUUGUGUAGAGCAUGGGAACAAAAUAAGCAGAGUAUGGAUUUGUAUAAAUGAAUUCAAUAUGAAAUAAUUGUUCAUGUGAAAAUAUGUCUUAUUAAUGCAAUGAACAUUACAUUUUGCUAUAGUUAAACUUGAUUAGAAGUGGUAAAAGUACAUUUCUUUGUAAAAUGUAUAUAUGAUAGAAAAGGUCAAUAGACUGCCAAUGUCAGUGAUUAAUGGACUUUAUUAUGAAACAGAAAAGGAAUACAGAAGUGCACUAGAAAGGAUUUAAUAUGAAGCAAGGAAAGAUCAUCUAAAUGUUAUAAAAGUGACAUAAUUAAAAAUGUUAAUUAUUAGAAUUGAUACUUUUUGUGGGGGUGGGAAUCUCUGUCCUGUCUAUACCAUUUAUUCCAAUUCAUCCUAUCCAAUUCCAACUUGACCCUGCCUACCUGCACAUCCCAUUUCUGAUUGGUUACCCAGAUAUGAUUGUAUAAAUAAUACAUAAUAUAGCAUACUUGAAUUAAAAUAUUAAUGUGGAGCAUGGCUAAAAAAUAAGAAGAGAAAAGAUGUGUAUAAAUCUAUUGAAUAUGAAAUAUGUUACACUCCAACGAUAUUUUGAAAAGUCUGGAAAAAUAGUUGUUUGAAAGGUAAUAUGUUAUUAUACUUGGUAUAAUAUGCAGAAUUACAGAUUUAAUUUAUAUUUCUUGUUGCCAUGCUUAUUUACAGUACUUAUACCAGUCCAUUUUUUUUCAGUUUGAGCUGCAAGUUUAAGCAGGAAAAUGAUGUCAAAUGUCAAGGCAAACCAAAGAAGCAGUACUGGAUUUUCCCUGGAAAAGUAUGAGGAAUGUUUGUGAAAAAAGUGACUGUGUUCAUUUGUAGUAUUUAAAGUGAAGAAAGAACAUAAAAAAAUAACUAUUGGAAUUGAUACUUUUUGUUGGGGGUGGGAAUCUGUGUCCUUUGUAGUCCAUUUCCUUCCCAUCUGUCCUAACCCCAUUUCAUCAUGGCCCAGCCCAUCCCAUUCCUGAUUUGUAAUCCAGAUAUGAAUGUACAAGUAAUGUAUGUAUAGAUGAAUUUAAUAUGAAAUAUGUUAGUAUGAAAAUAUGUCUUAUGCAUGCAAUUGACACAUACAAUAGUAAAAUAGAGAAAAGUGGAAACUUCACAGGUCGCCCAACACACACUUCAUAAGAAUUGAUAAAAGUACACUUCUUUGUAAGUAAAUAUAUGUAUAUGAUAGAAAGGGUUGAAAAUAUGGGUUUGGAGAGGUUUAUAAUAUUGUUAUGGAUUCAGUCUAUUAUCUUAUAUAGAAUAAUUAUUGAAUCUGAAACCACUCUUGUGUAGAGUAUGGGAACAAAAUAAGCAGAGAAUGGAUUUGUAUAAAGGAAUUCAAUAUGAAAUAAUUGUUCAUGUGAAAAUGUGUCUUAUUAAUGCAAUGAACAUUUGCUGUAGUUAAACUUGAUUAGAAGUGGUAAAAGUACAUUUCUUUGUGAAAAUGUAUAUAUGAUAGAAAAGGUCAUUAGACUGCCAAUGACAACUGACUACGUCCCAUUCAUAUGUAUAGUCAGUGAUUGAUUGGACUUUAUUAUGAAGCAGAAAAGGAAUAUAAAAAUGCAGUAGAAAGGAUUUAAUAUGAAGCAAGGAAAAUUCAUCUAAAUGUUUUAAAAAGUGAAUUAAAAAUGUUAAUUAUAAUUGAUACUUUUGUGGGGUGGGAAUCUCUGUCCUGUCUAUACCAUUUAUUCCGAUUCAUCUUAUCCAGUUCCAACUUGACCCUGCCCAUCCCAUUUCUGAUUGGUUACCCAGAUAUGAUUGUAUAAAUAAUACAUAAUGUAGCAUACUUGAAUUAAAAUAUUAAUGUGGAGCAUUGCCAGAAAAUAAGAGAGAAGAUGUGUAUAAAUCAAUUUAAUAUGAAAUAUGUUCACAUGUUAUACGAAGUGUUAAUAGUACACUUCUUUAUAAGUAAAUGCAUGUAUAUAAUAGAAAAGGUUGGAAACAUGAUUUUUUUUAAACAUUCUUAAUAUUAUUAUAAAUAGUUUAUUAUCUGAAGUGGAAUAGUUAUUCAAUCUGUAACCACACUUGAACAGUUUUCAGAAGUUAACACUCCAACGAUAUUUUGAAAAGUCUGGAAAAAGAAUUGUUUGAAAGGUAAUAUGUUAUUCUACUUGGUAUAAUAUGCAGAAUUACAGAAUUAAUUUAUAUUUCUUGUUGCCAUGCUUAUUUACAGUACUUAUACCAGUCCAUUUUUUUUUCAGUUUGAGCUGCAAGUUGAAGCAGGAAAAUGGUGUCAAGUGUCAAGGCAAGCCAAAGAAGCAGUACUGGAUUUUCCCCAGAAAAUAAUAUUUGCUGACCAUUGUUGAAGCUGUGGAUUUUCCCUGGGAAAAAAUGAAGAAUGUUUUCAAGAAGAGGCUGUAUUCAUUUGUAGUGUUUGAAGUGACGAAAGAAUAACAAAUUGAGACAGAAGACAAAACAUGUGGAAUGUGACAGCUGUAAAUGCUGGAAAUGUAAGUAGUAGGCUACAAGACAGGGACCAAAACCAAAUGAUAGGCACUGGUAUGUAUUGUUGUUUAUAAUUUUACUUGUAGUGUUGUUUAUAAAAGGUUUCAUUGAUAGUUAUGUUGACAAUGUCAGCUCUUUUAAAAAUGUUGUUGCUUUUUGUAAAAAUAGGGUGUUGAUGAUACCUAUUCUGUUUUUGGUAAAGGACAAUGAAUGCUAGGCAAGUUUCUCAAACAUAUCUUCUUUCCCUGACAAAAAACAUUGAUAUGAACAAAAAAAUUCAUUACUUCAGACAUGGAUAGAUGGUUUCCUGCAAAGAAGAAUGUAUAAUGUAACCUGCAGCCAGAGAGUUCGGAGAAAGGGAUCAGCUCAAAGAACAUUGGAGGGGUCUGAUGACAAUAUUGAUAUAGGUUAUGAAGAAGAUGAUAAGGAAAAUAGGCAGAGGUAAAGGAGACAAAUGAUGGUGCGCAAAAUAGAAAUAUCACAAGUUAACAGUCAAUAAGGAAAAUGACUCCAGUCAGUAACUCGACAAGUCGUGAGCUUGCAAAAUAUGUCACAGAAAGGCGGGUUUAUGGAUGCUGCAGAUUUACCCAGUCUUGCUUAAACCAGAAGUUGUCAAACUGCUUGCUGGAUUUCUAAAAAACUUCAAAGGAGUGAUCAGUACCAACCGUAGUUGUGCGUAUCCCUGGCACAUUCCGCUUCACUACACAAAGUGGCCACCAGAGCUCAAGUUAGAAAAAUCUUGUCCAGCUUUCACAGGUCAAACUGCUAGACAGAUUUUGAUGAAACUUCACAGGAGUGAUCAGUACAAAGCCUAGUUAUGCAUAUUGCUGACAUCUUCUACUUUGCUGCAGAAAAUGGCUGCCAGAGCUAAAGGUAUACAUUGGGGGGCAGACAUGUUUUUGUGUCAAAAACACCUAAUUAUUAUUUUUUUGUUUUAAUUCAUUUUAUUUUUUAACACUACCAUUACAAAAUAUUUAUAAGGUGCUGUAGUCAGAGUAGGGUUAUCACUAAACUUAACAUUUUGACACAGU